CUUGAGCUUGAUCCCUGGCUCAGGACGAACGCUGGCGGCGUGCCUAAUACAUGCAAGUCGAGCGAAUCUUUCGGAGCUUGCUCCCGAAGGUUAGCGGCGGACGGGUGAGUAACACGUGGGCAACCUGCCUAUAAGACUGGGAUAACUUCGGGAAACCGGAGCUAAUACCGGAUAAUCCUUUUCCUCUCAUGAGGGAAAGCUGAAAGACGGUCUCGGCUGUCACUUAUAGAUGGGCCCGCGGCGCAUUAGCUAGUUGGUGAGGUAACGGCUCACCAAGGCGACGAUGCGUAGCCGACCUGAGAGGGUGAUCGGCCACACUGGGACUGAGACACGGCCCAGACUCCUACGGGAGGCAGCAGUAGGGAAUCUUCCGCAAUGGACGAAAGUCUGACGGAGCAACGCCGCGUGAACGAUGAAGGCUUUCGGGUCGUAAAGUUCUGUUGUUAGGGAAGAACAAGUAUCGGAGUAACUGCCGGUACCUUGACGGUACCUAACCAGAAAGCCA
Molecule: ribosomal RNA, 505 nt
Filed under: Bacillaceae bacterium CL3.100
Lineage: Bacteria; Bacillati; Bacillota; Bacilli; Caryophanales; Bacillaceae
Description: bacterial SSU rRNA
Rfam family: Bacterial small subunit ribosomal RNA
Source: RNAcentral